This 72-nucleotide transfer RNA is filed under the name Pangasianodon gigas (Mekong giant catfish). Its description in RNAcentral is "tRNA-Glu". It matches the Rfam family "tRNA". From Rfam's summary of the family: Transfer RNA (tRNA) molecules are approximately 80 nucleotides in length. Their secondary structure includes four short double-helical elements and three loops (D, anti-codon, and T loops). Lineage: Eukaryota; Metazoa; Chordata; Actinopteri; Siluriformes; Pangasiidae. The record is from RNAcentral.
UCCCUGAAGGACCAGUGGUUAGGCCACAGCGCUCUCACCGCCAUGGCCCGGGCUCGACUCCCGGCCAGGGAA